CGCUGCAGCCUCGCCCGUCGUGAACACAGCAACAUCACCAACGAAUGAUGUCCAACGCUUCGCACGUGAUGAUCUUGUUGGAAAUGAUGUGAUCUUAUUUGCCAUGUCGAGUAAUGAAAAAGUGGCUAAGGCAACUGUUGUUUCAAUUAACCCAAACAAUCAUCUUGCGGGUGAGGCUCUUGGAACGAAAUUUUGUGAAGUUAUUGUGAAUAUUGUCUUCAAACGUGAUGCAUUAGUGCCACGUCCUUAUGCUGAAAUGAAGACUCUAGGUGAUGCUGUAAAGAUGCCGGUUGCUUGGCCAUUUAAUCGACUGAAGGUUUGCAGUCAACAGCCAAAAAGACCUUCUCAAGGUGUGGCUGGAUCUUCUCAAGUUGUUGCUCGAUUU
Sorghum bicolor (sorghum) is the source of this 385-nucleotide long non-coding RNA. RefSeq lists it as uncharacterized. The record is from RefSeq and is a predicted model, not a curated record. The transcript has 3 exons. Lineage: Eukaryota; Viridiplantae; Streptophyta; Magnoliopsida; Poales; Poaceae.